This 1374-nucleotide ribosomal RNA is filed under the name uncultured bacterium. Its description in RNAcentral is "16S ribosomal RNA". It matches the Rfam family "Bacterial small subunit ribosomal RNA", at positions 30 to 1395 of the family's 1533-position model. The record is from RNAcentral.
UGAACGCUGGCGGUAUGCUUAACACAUGCAAGUCGAACGGAAACGAUACUAGCUUGCUAGUAGGCGUCGAGUGGCGGACGGGUGAGUAACGCGUAGGAAUCUGCCUGAUAGUGGGGGAUAGCCCGAAGAAAUUCGGAUUAAUACCGCAUAAUCUAUUCGUAGUAAAGUGGGGGACUUUCGAGCCUCACGCUAUCAGAUGAGCCUGCGUAAGAUUAGCUUGUUGGUAGGGUAAAAGCCUACCAAGGCGACGAUCUUUAGCUGGUCUGAGAGGAUGAUCAGCCACAUCGGGACUGAGACACGGCCCGAACUCCUACGGGAGGCAGCAGUGGGGAAUAUUGGACAAUGGGGGCAACCCUGAUCCAGCAAUACCGCGUGUGUGAAGAAGGCCUGAGGGUUGUAAAGCACUUUCAAUUGUGAAGAAAAGUUAGCGGUUAAUAACCGUUAGCCUUGACGUUAACUUUAGAAGAAGCACCGGCUAACUCCGUGCCAGCAGCCGCGGUAAUACGGAGGGUGCAAGCGUUAAUCGGAAUUACUGGGCGUAAAGCGUGCGUAGGCGGUUUAUUAAGUCAGAUGUGAAAGCCCCGGGCUUAACCUGGGAACUGCAUUUGAAACUGGUCAACUAGAGUAUGGUAGAGGAAAGUGGAAUUUCUGGUGUAGCGGUGAAAUGCGUAGAUAUCAGAAGGAACAUCAAUGGCGAAGGCAGCUUUCUGGACCAAUACUGACGCUGAGGUACGAAAGCGUGGGUAGCAAACAGGAUUAGAUACCCUGGUAGUCCACGCCGUAAACGAUGAUAACUAGCCGUUGGGGGGAUUUACCCUUUAGUGGCGAAGCUAACGCGUUAAGUUAUCCGCCUGGGGAGUACGGCCGCAAGGUUAAAACUCAAAGGAAUUGACGGGGACCCGCACAAGCGGUGGAGCAUGUGGUUUAAUUCGAUGCAACGCGAAGAACCUUACCUGGUCUUGACAUCCUGCGAACUUUCUAGAAAUAGAUUGGUGCCUUCGGGAACGCAGUGACAGGUGCUGCAUGGCUGUCGUCAGCUCGUGUCGUGAGAUGUUGGGUUAAGUCCCGUAACGAGCGCAACCCCUAUCCUUAUUUGCCAGCACAUCAUGGUGGGAACUAUAAGGAGACUGCCGGUGAUAAACCGGAGGAAGGCGGGGACGACGUCAAGUCAUCAUGGCCCUUACGACCAGGGCUACACACGUGCUACAAUGGGAAGGACAAAGAGCCGCGAAGCCGCGAGGUGUAGCUAAUCUCAUAAACCUUUUCGUAGUCCGGAUUGGAGUCUGCAACUCGACUCCAUGAAGUCGGAAUCGCUAGUAAUCGUAGAUCAGAAUGCUACGGUGAAUACGUUCCCGGGUCUUGUACACACCGCCC